Molecule: ribosomal RNA, 455 nt
Filed under: bacterium Fw70-61
Lineage: Bacteria
Description: bacterial SSU rRNA
Rfam family: Bacterial small subunit ribosomal RNA
Source: RNAcentral
AUUGAACGCUGGCGGCAUGCCUUACACAUGCAAGUCGAACGGCAGCACGGGAGCAAUCCUGGUGGCGAGUGGCGAACGGGUGAGUAAUGUAUCGGAACGUGCCCAGUCGUGGGGGAUAACGCAGCGAAAGCUGUGCUAAUACCGCAUACGAUCUAUGGAUGAAAGCGGGGGAUCGCAAGACCUCGCGCGAUUGGAGCGGCCGAUAUCAGAUUAGGUAGUUGGUGGGGUAAAGGCCCACCAAGCCGACGAUCUGUAGCUGGUCUGAGAGGACGACCAGCCACACUGGGACUGAGACACGGCCCAGACUCCUACGGGAGGCAGCAGUGGGGAAUUUUGGACAAUGGGCGCAAGCCUGAUCCAGCAAUGCCGCGUGCAGGAUGAAGGCCUUCGGGUUGUAAACUGCUUUUGUACGGAGCGAAACGGCUUCCACUAAUACUGGGGGCUAAUGACGGUAC